GUGAGGCAGCUGUACUGGAAGCUGAGGUCCAGGUGGAGGAGGAGCUCGGCGCCGUCGCGGCCGAACAAGGGCGGCGCGGCGGCGACGGCGAGGUUCGCGUACGACCUGGAGAGCUACUCCCGCAACUUCGACGAUGGCCUCGUCUCUGGCCUAUAUAGCUAGCUACAGAAACUUCUCCUGCUUAAUUGCCAUUGUUAGGAGCAUUGAGACAGGAGAAUCCAAUACUCGAUCGAUCUGCUAGUAUGUUUGUACAUUGUACGUAGUACUGUUGUUUAUAAAUGGGACAGUGCAAUUUCUGAGUACUAAUAAUCUAGCUGGUGACAAAACUAAUGUGGAAUAUUAACAAACAAGUUCUGCAAGC
This 361-nucleotide long non-coding RNA is filed under the name Oryza brachyantha (malo sina). RNAcentral's name for it is "long non-coding RNA (OBRA_LNC002699)". The record is from RNAcentral. Lineage: Eukaryota; Viridiplantae; Streptophyta; Magnoliopsida; Poales; Poaceae.